RNAcentral lists this transfer RNA (80 nucleotides) under Phlebopus portentosus. RNAcentral's name for it is "tRNA-Ser". Lineage: Eukaryota; Fungi; Basidiomycota; Agaricomycetes; Boletales; Boletinellaceae. The record is from RNAcentral.
GGAAUAGUUUACAUUGGAAAGUUAAUACAAUUGCUAAUUGUUCGAGGCAACUCUUAGGUGUUCGACUCACCUCUAUUCCG